AGGCAGCAAUGGGGAAUAUUGCACAAUGGGCGCAAGCCUGAUGCAGCGACGCCGCGUGGGGGAUGACGUCUUCGGGUUGUAAACCUCUUUCAGUAGGGACGAAGCGCAAGUGACGGUACCUACAGAAGAAGGACCGGCCAACUACGUGCCAGCAGCCGC
RNAcentral lists this ribosomal RNA (159 nucleotides) under uncultured bacterium. RNAcentral's name for it is "partial 16S ribosomal RNA". It matches the Rfam family "Bacterial small subunit ribosomal RNA", at positions 346 to 518 of the family's 1533-position model. The record is from RNAcentral.